CUCUGAGCUCAGUGCCCCCUUGCAGUUGAAGGUCACAGGUGCUGGGUUCACAGACCAGGAAUUCUGCAGCUCCCCGGGCUCAGCCAUGUCUGUCUCCGUCUGGAUCCUCCGCUAUGUCUUGGCAAUUCUCCUUCUGGUGUCUGCCCCGAUCAUCACCUUCAUCC
This is a non-coding RNA of Pelodiscus sinensis (Chinese soft-shelled turtle), 164 nucleotides long. Lineage: Eukaryota; Metazoa; Chordata; Testudines; Trionychidae. The record is from RefSeq and is a predicted model, not a curated record.